Molecule: ribosomal RNA, 492 nt
Filed under: uncultured bacterium
Lineage: Bacteria
Description: partial 16S ribosomal RNA
Rfam family: Bacterial small subunit ribosomal RNA
Source: RNAcentral
AGUGAACGCUGGCGGUAGGCCUAACACAUGCAAGUCGAACGGUAGCACAGUAAGAGCUUGCUCUUACGGGUGGCGAGUGGCGGACGGGUGAGGAAUACAUCGGAAUCUACUUUUUCGUGGGGGAUAACGUAGGGAAGCUUACGCUAAUACCGCAUACGACCUACGGGUGAAAGCAGGGGAUCUUCGGACCUUGCGCGAUUGAAUGAGCCGAUGUCGGAUUAGCUAGUUGGCGGGGUAAAGGCCCACCAAGGCGACGAUCCGUAGCUGGUCUGAGAGGAUGAUCAGCCACACUGGAACUGAGACACGGUCCAGACUCCUACGGGAGGCAGCAGUGGGGAAUAUUGGACAAUGGGCGCAAGCCUGAUCCAGCCAUACCGCGUGGGUGAAGAAGGCCUUCGGGUUGUAAAGCCCUUUUGUUGGGAAAGAAAAGCAGCAGGUUAAUACCCCGCUGUUCUGACGGUACCCAAAGAAUAAGCACCGGCUAACUUCGUG